Molecule: ribosomal RNA, 666 nt
Filed under: Salmonella enterica subsp. enterica serovar Derby
Lineage: Bacteria; Pseudomonadati; Pseudomonadota; Gammaproteobacteria; Enterobacterales; Enterobacteriaceae
Also listed under: 1 other name
Description: bacterial SSU rRNA
Rfam family: Bacterial small subunit ribosomal RNA
Source: RNAcentral
GACCGCCUGGGGAGUACGGCCGCAAGGUUAAAACUCAAAUGAAUUGACGGGGGCCCGCACAAGCGGUGGAGCAUGUGGUUUAAUUCGAUGCAACGCGAAGAACCUUACCUGGUCUUGACAUCCACAGAACUUUCCAGAGAUGGAUUGGUGCCUUCGGGAACUGUGAGACAGGUGCUGCAUGGCUGUCGUCAGCUCGUGUUGUGAAAUGUUGGGUUAAGUCCCGCAACGAGCGCAACCCUUAUCCUUUGUUGCCAGCGGUCCGGCCGGGAACUCAAAGGAGACUGCCAGUGAUAAACUGGAGGAAGGUGGGGAUGACGUCAAGUCAUCAUGGCCCUUACGACCAGGGCUACACACGUGCUACAAUGGCGCAUACAAAGAGAAGCGACCUCGCGAGAGCAAGCGGACCUCAUAAAGUGCGUCGUAGUCCGGAUUGGAGUCUGCAACUCGACUCCAUGAAGUCGGAAUCGCUAGUAAUCGUGGAUCAGAAUGCCACGGUGAAUACGUUCCCGGGCCUUGUACACACCGCCCGUCACACCAUGGGAGUGGGUUGCAAAAGAAGUAGGUAGCUUAACCUUCGGGAGGGCGCUUACCACUUUGUGAUUCAUGACUGGGGUGAAGUCGUAACAAGGUAACCGUAGGGGAACCUGCGGUUGGAUCACCUCCUUA